CAGUAGCGUAUAUUAAAGUUGUUGCAGUUAAAAAGCUCGUAGUUGGAUUUCUGACUUCAAACACCUGACCCUCCCUCGCUAGAGGUGUGUGUGCCGGAGUGUUUGUAUCAUCCUUUCAGUGAUCGGUUCUACCCUUAACCGGGUCGGAACUGUUAACUGGAUCUUUUACUUUGAAGAAAUUGGAGUGUUUAAAGCAGGCUUACGCCAGAACAUAUUAGCAUGGAAUAAUAAUUUAGGACUUUUGUUCUAUUUUGUUGGUUUCUAGGACGAAAGUAAUGAUUAAUAGGGACAGUUGGGGGCAUUAGUAUUUAAUUGUCAGAGGUGAAAUUCUUGGAUUUAUGAAAGACUAACUACUGCGAAAGCAUUUGCCAAGGAUGUUUUCAUUAAUUCAAGAACGAAAGUUAAGGGGAGUCGAAGACGAUUAGAUACCAU
This 432-nucleotide ribosomal RNA is filed under the name uncultured eukaryote. Its description in RNAcentral is "bacterial SSU rRNA". It matches the Rfam family "Eukaryotic small subunit ribosomal RNA", at positions 592 to 1018 of the family's 1831-position model. The record is from RNAcentral.